ACGCCGUUGGUGAAAUGGUUAUCAUGCUUGCCUUCCAAGCAAGCGGCGGGGGUUCGAUUCCCUCACGGCGUA
This 72-nucleotide transfer RNA is filed under the name Rhizoctonia solani AG-1 IA. RNAcentral's name for it is "tRNA-Gly (TCC) (tRNA-Gly-TCC-1-1)". It matches the Rfam family "tRNA". From Rfam's summary of the family: Transfer RNA (tRNA) molecules are approximately 80 nucleotides in length. The record is from RNAcentral. RNAcentral also lists the same sequence under 1 other name. Lineage: Eukaryota; Fungi; Basidiomycota; Agaricomycetes; Cantharellales; Ceratobasidiaceae.